UACAGAGGGUGCAAGCGUUGUUCGGAAUUAUUGGGCGUAAAGCGCGUGUAGGCGGCUUAGCAAGUCGGGCGUGAAAGCCCUCGGCUCAACCGAGGAAGUGCACCCGAAACUGCUGAGCUUGAGUGCCGGAGAGGAUGGCGGAAUACCCCAAGUAGAGGUGAAAUUCGUAGAUAUGGGGUGGAACACCGGUGGCGAAGGCGGCCAUCUGGACGGUAACUGACGCUGAUGCGCGAAAGCCAGGGGAGCAAACGGG
RNAcentral lists this ribosomal RNA (253 nucleotides) under uncultured bacterium. RNAcentral describes it as "partial 16S ribosomal RNA". It matches the Rfam family "Bacterial small subunit ribosomal RNA", at positions 524 to 776 of the family's 1533-position model. The record is from RNAcentral.